Molecule: ribosomal RNA, 253 nt
Filed under: uncultured bacterium
Lineage: Bacteria
Description: partial 16S ribosomal RNA
Rfam family: Bacterial small subunit ribosomal RNA
Source: RNAcentral
UACGUAGGGUGCGAGCGUUAAUCGGAAUUACUGGGCGUAAAGCGUGCGCAGGCGGUUCGUCGUGUCGGUGGUGAAAGCCCCGGGCUUAACCUGGGAAUGGCCAUGGAAACUGGCGAACUGGAGUGUGGCAGAGGGGGGUGGAAUUCCGCGUGUAGCAGUGAAAUGCGUAGAGAUGCGGAGGAACACCGAUGGCGAAGGCAGCCCCGUGGGCUAGCACUGACGCUCAGGCACGAAAGCGUGGGGAGCAAACAGG